AGCAGUAGCCGCGGUAAUACGAAGGGGGCUAGCGUUGCUCGGAAUCACUGGGCGUAAAGGGUGCGUAGGCGGGUCUUUAAGUCAGGGGUGAAAUCCUGGAGCUCAACUCCAGAACUGCCUUUGAUACUGAAGAUCUUGAGUCCGGGAGAGGUGAGUGGAACUGCGAGUGUAGAGGUGAAAUUCGUAGAUAUUCGCAAGAACACCAGUGGCGAAGGCGGCUCACUGGCCCGAUACUGACGCUGAGGCACGAAAGCGUGGGGAGCAAACAGGAUUAGAUACCCCAGUAGUCCCUGUCUCUUAUAA
This 303-nucleotide ribosomal RNA is filed under the name uncultured bacterium. RNAcentral describes it as "partial 16S ribosomal RNA". It matches the Rfam family "Bacterial small subunit ribosomal RNA", at positions 507 to 809 of the family's 1533-position model. The record is from RNAcentral.